Vicugna pacos (alpaca) is the source of this 970-nucleotide non-coding RNA. Lineage: Eukaryota; Metazoa; Chordata; Mammalia; Artiodactyla; Camelidae. The record is from RefSeq and is a predicted model, not a curated record.
CUUCCCCGCGAUUUGGUCGGGUCUGACAAGAGACGGGAGCGGGGUCGCAAAGCGGGCGCGACGAAGGGCCGCGACCGUCCCCUGCGGUGUGGGGUGGAACUGCACGCGGGCCUCAGACCGCGAGCCUGAGGGGACGUGAGCGCACGCCUGAGGAAAACUCGAGAGACAAAUUGAGAAACUUGAGUUUCUGUAUAUAAGUCAUACCGUGGUAAAGUUGUCUCCCACUUUAAUGAAGAGGGGUAUUUCGGUGGAGCUUUGACCACACAGCAAGAAUGAAACGGAGACACUGCACUUCCCAGUUAGCUGCAACGCAGGGAAGAACGGGGACUCUGGGACUGCCGCAUAGCACGGCUCUUGCUGCUGGCUUUGGUCUGGAGUCCACUUUUUGAUUUGGUCGGGAUCCUAAGGAGCCUGCCAACCCCAGAUGGUCAGAUCCAAUCCUGUGAGAGGCCAUCAGUGCAGGAACUCGGUCUCAACACAAACAAAAGGGAAGUGAGUUGUGGGUGAGUGAGCCACACCUGCUGAUGUCUCUGCGGGCUAACUGAAGUGGGGUUCAGGCCCAGGACCUUGGGAUGUACAAACUGGCUAAAUGAACAUCAAUUUGUCUACCAAAGUGCCUCUGCAUUACAACCCACUCUCUUCCUCUUCUUUCUGCUGAAGAGCAGGCAUUGGGGUUGCAAAGGAACAUGAUGGAGGCCCCCCUCAUCCGCCCUUAUUCCCCAGCUGGCAUGGGGCACAUGAAUCCCUGAUUAGACUCCUGCAAGGUUCAUCAUUCACAAAUCAUGGAUAGCAUCCUUGGACAACAAGCAAGCGGACACCAAAGCGGCAAGGCCAACUCCACUGGAUUUUCCUACUGGUGAGUUUCCCAUCAGAGGUCCCUAGUAUUGCAACCUGUUACAGAAGUGGGCACCAGUCUUUGUGGUAAAGAUUUGGGUUGAAAUAAGACCCAGUCAUUUGAACAACAUAAAUU